UGUGGCUCGGGAAUGGGCAUGAGCUAUGUGCGCAGAAUUCUUCGCGCUCACGGUGGAGAUAUCAGUUGUGAGGCAAGCGAUUCCGGUGCGUGUUUUGUGCUGACAUUUCCGCGUUGGGCUGAUCCGGAGUCAACAGCAGUCAGUGUGGAUGGCAUCAAUGAGGGUUCGCUAUGACAACACAAAAAAAGGCCGGCGAUCUGUUCUGUGUGCUGCUGGUCGAGGAUGAUCCCGUCCUGAAUUCAUAGGGGCGUGGAAGCGAACCCGGGGAAUUGAAACAUCUCAGUACCCGGAGGAAAGGACAUCAACCGAGACUCCGUUAGUAGUGGCGAGCGAAAGCGGACCAGGCCAGUGGUUUUUGCGUAAGAACCGGAACGCUCUGGAAAGGGCGGCUAUAGAGGGUGACAGCCCCGUACGGGUAGAAAGCGCAAGAAUCCUUGAGUAAGGCGGGACACGUGCAAUCCUGUCUGAAGAUGGGGGGACCACCCUCCAAGCCUAAGUACUCCUUACCGACCGAUAGCGAACAAGUACCGUGAGGGAAAGGUGAAAAGCACCCCGAUGAGGGGAGUGAAAGAGACCUGAAACCGGAUGCCUACAAGCAGUGGGAGCGGAACGUGCGGUUCGCCGUGCGGAUCCGUGACUGCGUACCUUUUGUAUAAUGGGUCAGCGAGUUAGUUUCAGUGGCGAGCUUAAGCCGAUAGGCGUAGGCGCAGCGAAAGCGAGUCUGAAUAGGGCGAACAGUCACUGGGAUUAGACCCGAAGCCGGUCGAUCUAGCCAUGGGCAGGUUGAAGGUGCGGUAACACGCACUGGAGGACCGAACCCACUCCUGUUGAAAAAGUAGGGGAUGACCUGUGGCUAGGGGUGAAAGGCCAAUCAAGGCCGGCAAUAGCUGGUUCUCCGCGAAAUCUAUUGAGGUAGAGCGUCGAUCGAUUACCCUCGGGGGUAGAGCACUGGAUGGGCUAGGGGGGCGCAAGCCUUACCAAACCUAACCAAACUCCGAAUACCGAGGAGUACAGAUCGGCAGGCAGGCGGCGGGUGCUAAGGUCCGUCGCCGAGAGGGAAAGAGCCCAGACCGUCAUCUAAGGUCCCCAAGUCCUGGCUAAGUGGUAAAGGAUGUGGGACGGCUUAGACAACCAGGAGGUUGGCUUAGAAGCAGCCAUCCUUUAAAGAAAGCGUAAUAGCUCACUGGUCAAGCUGUCCUGCGCCGAAAAUGUAACGGGGCUUAAGCCAGGCACCGAAGAUACGGGUGUGCGCAAGCACGCGGUAGCGGAGCGUUCCGUAAGCCUGUGAAGGCGAACCGUCAGGUUCGCUGGAGGUAUCGGAAGUGAGAAUGCUGACAUGAGUAACGAUAAACAGGGCGAGAAACCCUGUCGCCGAAAACCCAAGGGUUCCUGCGCAAGGUUAAUCCGCGCAGGGUAAGCCGGUCCCUAAGGCGAGGCCGAAAGGCGUAGUCGAUGGAAACCAGGUUAAUAUUCCUGGGCCUGCUGGGUGUUGACGGAGAUGGAAGUUCGUUCGCGGUUAUUGGAUUCCGCGGGCGGACCAAGUCUUCCAGGAAAUAGCCCCAGCGUAUAGGCCGUACCCGAAACCGACACAGGUGGGUUGGUUGAAUAUACCAAGGCGCUUGAGAGAACGGUGUCGAAGGAACUAGGCAAAUUGCCCUCGUAACUUCGGGAGAAGAGGGACCCGGCUUAGCGCAAGCUUUGUCGGGUGGCACAGAAAUGGGGGUAGCGACUGUUUACUUAAAACACAGGGCUCUGCGAACUCGUAAGAGGACGUAUAGGGUCUGACGCCUGCCCGGUGCCGGAAGGUUAAGAGGAGAGCUGCAAGGCUUGAAUCGAAGCCCCGGUAAACGGCGGCCGUAACUAUAACGGUCCUAAGGUAGCGAAAUUCCUUGUCGGGUAAGUUC
RNAcentral lists this ribosomal RNA (1904 nucleotides) under freshwater bacterium LH6-2. Its description in RNAcentral is "bacterial LSU rRNA". It matches the Rfam family "Bacterial large subunit ribosomal RNA", at positions 59 to 1983 of the family's 2925-position model. The record is from RNAcentral.